Molecule: ribosomal RNA, 484 nt
Filed under: uncultured bacterium
Lineage: Bacteria
Description: partial 16S ribosomal RNA
Rfam family: Bacterial small subunit ribosomal RNA
Source: RNAcentral
AUUGAACGCUGGCGGCAUGCUUUACACAUGCAAGUCGAACGGCAGCGCGCGCUUUUGCCUGGCUGCGAGUGGCGAACGGGUGAGUAAUACAUCGGAACGUGCCCAGUAGUGCUGGAUAGCUCGGCUGAAGCCGGAUUACUACUGCAUACGACCUGAGGGUGAUAGCGGGGGACCUUCGGACCUCGCGCUAUUGGAGCGGCCGAUGGCAGAUUAGCUGGUUGGUGGGGUAAAGGCCUACCAAGGCGACGAUCUGUAGCUGGUCUGAGAGGAGGAUCAGCCCUACUGGGACUGAGAGACGGCCCAGAAUCCGAAGGGAGGCAGCAGUGGGGAAUGUUGGACAAUGGGCGAAAGCCUGACCAAGGAAUGCCGCGUGUGUGAUGAAGGCCUUCGGGUUGAAAAGCGCUUUUGGCGGGAAAGAAAAGGACUGUGCCAAUACCACGGUUCGAUGACGGUACCCGCAGAAUAAGCACCGGCUAACUACGUG